UGUCAAAGGAUGGGAAUCGAACCCACGACCUUCCGCUUACCGGGCAGAUGCCAUGACCACUAGGCUACCCUGGAC
This 75-nucleotide transfer RNA is filed under the name Cordylochernes scorpioides. RNAcentral's name for it is "tRNA-Thr". Lineage: Eukaryota; Metazoa; Arthropoda; Arachnida; Pseudoscorpiones; Chernetidae. The record is from RNAcentral.